Nilaparvata lugens (brown planthopper) is the source of this 748-nucleotide long non-coding RNA. RefSeq lists it as uncharacterized. The transcript has 2 exons. Lineage: Eukaryota; Metazoa; Arthropoda; Insecta; Hemiptera; Delphacidae. The record is from RefSeq and is a predicted model, not a curated record.
AUUAAGGCAGAGAAUCGGCAACGCUGUUUUUCUAUCUUUAUCCACUGCCAUUAUAACGUGGACCUUACUAUAGAAUACGUAUUCUAGGUACCUUGCUCUAGAUUAUAGUUCUAUAUUAACAUAGUUAUGAAUUCAUGUCCCAUGUAUUAAAUUUCAACAUUAAUUCUGAAAAAUCUAGAAGCAAAAUUGAAAUUCGGUCUUCGAGGUGCACGAGAUUGAUAUUUUUAGAAUCUAUGUGCAAAAUUUGAAGAUCUAAAUCAUUCCCGUUUUUCCGGUAUGCAAUCCACAAGUUGGCAUGUUUUGAUGCGAACAAACACAACCCUACUGUACUCUCUCUUAUUAUAUAGAUUCUUCUGCGACCAGAACAGCCGGCUGAACGAGCUGAUGGCCGAGACCAAGACCACGGAGUAAAGAACACUCAUUGUUAUGUAUUCUGUGCCAAGACCGAGAUAUCGCUGGCUCCCCCCUCCACUGGCAAGGACCAGAUAGCUAUAGCUGGUGACAAGGAGGGAGUGCAAGCUGCCAAGGACCACAUCAUGGCUGUCUACAACGAAAUGCACUGACGAUGAUAUAGGAGAAGGCGAACAGCGUAGUGGAGCAGUACCUAGACGUGCCCUCCUAGAUCCACCGACAUCUGAUCGGCAAAAAGGGCGCCGACAUUCUCAAGACAAAGGAGGACAGCCCCAAGGUCUAUUUCGAAAAGAACAAGGACCGCCAGGAGAAGGACAAUCGUAUCAGAAUAGAAGGU